Molecule: unclassified non-coding RNA, 3192 nt
Filed under: Stegodyphus dumicola
Lineage: Eukaryota; Metazoa; Arthropoda; Arachnida; Araneae; Eresidae
Description: probable phosphorylase b kinase regulatory subunit beta, transcript variant X3
Source: RNAcentral
GUAGAUGGCGUUAAAAAUUUAGUUUCUGUUAUCUAUUUCUCUCUUAUCACAUUUGUAAACAUUUGUUUUUUGGUUCUGUUAUUUGUUAUCUGAUUAAUUUUUUCCCAUUUACUGUAAAUUUUUAGUGUAUACUUUCUUCUUUAUAAUGAUUCAUGGCCGGCGUUUUAGUACUCGAAUUCGCAUUUCGUUCAGGACUUUAGUUAAGUAUUUUGUUUGUAAGAAAAUCCGUAAUUUCGUCUAAUAAAUUUCAAAUGGAUUCAAUCAGACGAAUUAGCAAAGUUGAAAGACGAGUGAGUUUGUUGGAGGGUCCAAUUAGGAUAUUUAAGGGAAGUACUACACCUGCUGUCAUUCAGUAUCGAAGCAGACUUGCAAGUAUUUCAGAAAUUGAUGCCGAACAAGUAAAAAUUGCUAAUUAUGCAGAUACUGUAAAGCAGCUUGAUGCAUAUUAUGGCCAAGUUAAAAGACAGAUACUUAAUCACCAAAGUUCCACCACUGGCUUAUUUCCUCAGUUGUCUCAAGAAAGGGAAGUAGCUUGUGUUCGUGAUAGUAUAUAUUGUGCAGUUGCCAUAUGGAGUUUAUAUCAAGCAUACAAGAGAAUAGAUGAUGAUAGGGGUAAAGCUUAUGAACUUGGUCAGAGUGCUGUAAAAUGCAUGAGAGGAAUCCUUUUCUGCUGGAUGAGACAAGCAGAAGAAAAACUAGAGAAAUACAAAAUGAAUCAAUGUCCAGAAUAUGCUUUGCAUAGUAAAUUCCAUUUGGAAACUGGUCAACCAUUAGCACCAGAUGUACUUGGUAACUAUGGCCAUUUGCAGCUGGAUGUUGUUUCUCUGUACUUAUUAUUUUUAGUGCAGAUGAUUAUGUCAGGUCUUCAGAUUAUUUACACCAUGGAUGAGGUCAGUUUCGUGCAAAAUCUUGUCUAUUAUGUUGAAAGAGCAUAUCGUACACCAGAUUUCGGUAUGUGGGAACGAGGAAGUAAAUAUAAUGAUGGUACUCCAGAAAUACAUGCAAGUUCUAUUGGAAUGGCAAAAUCUGCUCUUGAAGCUAUAAAUGGGUGUAAUCUUUUUGGUGACAAGGGAGCUUCAUGGUCUGUAGUUUAUGUUGACAUUGAUGCUCACAGUAGAAACAGAAGCAUUUUUGAAACUCUUCUGCCACGAGAAUCCAGUUCUAAGAACACUGAUUCAUCUUUGCUUCCCACUAUUAGUUUUCCUUGUUUUGCUACUCAUGAUGAGCUUCUAUAUAACAGAACUAAAGAUAAAAUUGUCCGUAAGCUUCAAGGCACAUAUGGCUUCAAGAGGUUUCUUAGAGAUGGUUAUGGUACAGCAGUUGAAGAUAUCACUCAACAGUAUUAUGAACAAGGAGAGACUAAAGAAUUUGAAAACAUUGAAUGUGAAUGGCCAUUGUUUUUCUUAUACAUGAUCUUGGAUGGAAUAUUCAAAGGAAAUGAUGAGCAAAUAAAAAAGUAUCGUCAUUUAUUGCAUCCUAGAUUAAAAGUUGACAGAUAUGGAAAUGCUGUUGUUCCAAAAUACUUUUAUGUACCAACAUUAUGCAUCGAUGCUGAGAGGAGAGAUCCAGGCUCACAAAAAAGGAUUGCAAGUGCAGAAGGAGAUGCUGAUAAUUUAUAUUUACAUGGGCAAGCUCUAUACAUAAUGUGCGAAUUAUUAGUGGAUGGACUUCUCCACAUUAAUGAACUUGACCCAAUUAGGCGUUACUUGCCAUCGUACAACAGACCACGGAAAACUGGACGUUAUUCUGCAUUCCAGGGCACUGCUAGUGAUCUAGUUGUACAAGUUGUUCUUAUUGCUGAAAGUAUGAGAUUACAAGCUAUGAUGGCUACUUAUGGGAUCCAUACACAAACACCUCAUGAAGUAGAACCUGUUCAAAUAUGGUCUCCAAGCCAGCUUGUUAAGAUAUAUGAAUAUCUUGGAGUUAGUAAGAAACUAGGCCUCAAAGGGAGACCACCCAGACCUAUUGGUGCAUUAGGUACUAGCAAGCUUUACCGAAUAUGCGGUCAAACAGUAAUAUGCUAUCCUCUGAUCUUUGAAGUUAGUGAUUUUUAUCUUUCUCAUGAUAUGGCUCUUCUUAUUGAUGAUAUUAAGAAUGAACUUCAUUUUGUGGGAAAGUAUUGGCGAAUGUCUGGAAGGCCUACAGUCUGUAUUCUGAUUAGAGAAGAACAUAUGAGGGACGUUCAUUUUAAAGAAAUGCUGGAUUUGUUAGCAAUGCUUAAAAAAGGUGACUGUGAUGGUCUAAAAAUCAGAACUGGGAGGCUUCAGAAUUUGAUAUCUUCUUCAUGCAUUGAACAUUUAGAUUUUUUACAUUUAUUAACUGCUGAUGACUUACCGAAUGUUGAGGCAUUUCAGCAGCUAGAACAUGCAUCAAUAGGAUACCAAAGUCUGACAGAUAUCCCAAAAGCUAUUGUAUAUAAUGAGCCUACCUAUGAUUUUUCUGAAUUUAAUCAUCGUUCAUCAAGAGAUAUCCUUGAGGCACUAAGUCAUACUGACACGCUUCAUGGUCAGAGUCAACUAUUAGGAAUAUUAUACUUUCGUGAAGGACCACAGUUUUGGACGGAAAAUGGUACAGUGAAAGAAAGAUUGGAGAAAUUAACUAGACAAGCCGGAGCUUUGCGCCACUGGUCUGUUGUUAGAUAUUGCUCCAGUGUGUUGAGAAAAUUAGUAGACAGUAUUAGUCCAAAUAUAACUUCAAUUUUAGUAUGUGGGAAACAGAUAACUGUUGGUGUUUUUGGACAUGAAGAAGUUGUAAUUGAUAAACCCUUAACACCUAAGGAAGUUGAGGUAAUAAUAUAUUCAAAAUGCCAGCACCAUGAUAUAUAUCAAGCAGUAUUACAGCAAGAAAUUAUACUUUAUGUUGGUCGCCUCAUUUCAACUACUCCUCAACUUUUCCAUGGAAUAUUGAAAAUUAGAAUUGGUUGGGUUUUACAAGCCAUGAUACUGCACAUGAAAUUCUUGAAUCCUUCUCCACCUCCUUUAGGAAAGUUUAUCACCUAGUGAACUCCGAAAAGUUUUGUAUCGUGUUUUGACAUUAGCAGAAAAUGGAUCUAAUACUAAGCUGUCUAUUCAUCAAAGACGACAGAUUGAAGGUGCCUUAUGCAGAGUUCCAAAGAAUUUUUAUGAUCGUGUUUGGGAUAUUAUGACAAGAACCACUGAAGGUAUAAUUGUGGAAGGUUACCAUUUACCACAA